AGACCGAGCCAACUGGUGUCGCGAGGAGAGGAUAAAAAGGAAGGAGGGGGAUUGUGCAUUCUCGGUGCUCUCGACAGAGAAGAAAGUCGACGUCGAUUUCACCGCAUUACGGGACUCGGAUUGGAACACGUCAAAAGUGGAAUGGCUCGAUAUCGAAAAAAGAGGAAAAGGAGGAAAGAAAAAAAGAGACGGCAGAGAAGAAACGUUCGCUCGACACAAUAAAACCUGUUCCCUCCCCUACUACUACUGCGUAGUAGCUACCUGUCAGUUUCAUUUCAGCAAAAGUGAACAAUCUUUUAAAUCAAAAGAUAAAACCAGUCGAUCGACUCGCAAACACGCCGCACAGUAUACCAGCCAUAUAACACUUAUGCUAAUCGACGUGCAUCGCGAGGCGUUCAAGGCGCUCCGGAACUUCCUACGAGAUUGGGAUUUUCGAUCGGAAGAUAACGUACGAUUUGCCUAAUACACCAUUGGAGAAUAACGUGGCCGAGGUUACACGAAGAUCAGGCGUCGAGUAAUUUCUAACUGAGACCGUACUGCUAACCAACAAUAUCAUUUACUAGCGUUCCUGCACGGUUCUUCGUCAAUCGGAGAAAUUUCGAAGAAAGCCUCGAUAAUUCGCUGCUAUGUAUUUCGAUUGGGCUCUCCGGGAUCUCCGCACGUGAUGCUCGUACGAUUUGAUAAAUUUAAUAUCG
This is a long non-coding RNA of Frieseomelitta varia, 695 nucleotides long. RefSeq lists it as uncharacterized. The record is from RefSeq and is a predicted model, not a curated record. The transcript has 3 exons. NCBI's taxonomy places the organism in Eukaryota, Metazoa, Arthropoda, Insecta, Hymenoptera, Apidae.